This 575-nucleotide ribosomal RNA is filed under the name Rohdendorfia alpina. RNAcentral's name for it is "eukaryotic LSU rRNA". It matches the Rfam family "Eukaryotic large subunit ribosomal RNA", at positions 395 to 801 of the family's 3401-position model. The record is from RNAcentral. Lineage: Eukaryota; Metazoa; Arthropoda; Insecta; Diptera; Syrphidae.
GUACGUGAAACUGCUUAGAGGUUAAGCCCGAUGAACCUGAAUAUCCAUUAUGGAAAAUUCAUCAUUAAUAAUGUGGUAUUAAUAAUAUCAUAUAAAUAGUGUGCAAUUUUUCCAUAUAAGGACAUUGUAAUCUGUUAAUGUCAUAAAUAUUUAUUAAAAGAUCCUUUGCUCCAGUUUAUUUAAAUUAGUUAUUUUCGGAUUUCUAACAUAGAAUAAAGGCAUUGGAUUUGAUAAAUCAUUGACAGAUAUAAUUAUAUAAUGUGCUUAAAUUCUCCGGAAUUUUACAAUGAUGAGUAAUUCUUUUGAAUUAUUUGUUUAUAUUGUAUGCACUAUUAUGAUUAACAAUGCGAUAGAUUCAGGAUACCUUCGGGACCCGUCUUGAAACACGGACCAAGGAGUCUAACAUAUGUGCAAGUCAUUGGGUGUAAAACCUAAUGGCAUAAUUAACUUAACUGUUUAUAUGGGAUUAGUUUAUAUUUUAUAAUGGAAUAUGAAUUCAAUCCCGGGGCGUUCUAUACAGUUAUGUAUAAUAAUAUUUAUAUUAUUUAUGCCUCUAACUAGAGCGUACCUUGAGC